UGCCCUGGAAAGCUAACCAAAGCUGGCACCGCGCUUGGGUGUCUGGAGAUAUUAUGGUGUUACCGGUAUCAAGUGUUGAGUUUUAGCUUUUCGGACCACAGACUUUGACGCUUAUGCCAUGCUAAAGUUGGCAACGUUACCGUAAUGUGUGUCCUACUGUAGUAAUGAUACGUGAGGCCUGCCAGCCUGGUACUUCCUCGUGGUUUUGGCUUGGACGCUGCGGGUCUGAGGGCUUGUUCUGCGCAGGGCCUUGCACUGACAGCUCCAGGGUCGGGCAGAAAACGGAGAAUUAAUCAGAUACAAGUUAGAGAAAGCUUCCAAAAUCUGAACAGAUGAAGAUCAAUUGAUAAAUCAACCCAGCGAUUCACCGUAAUUUCAAGGUACUGUGACAUGCUUACCCACAUAUUUUCCUUAAGCAUAAUAUUCACAUACUUUAGAAGUGAGAAGCGUGGAGAACAGGAUAUUAACAGGGUUGCAAAGCAAGUCUGAAGUGUUACCAGAUGCAGUGGGGAGACUUUUUUAAAAAAAA
Molecule: long non-coding RNA, 529 nt
Filed under: Anser brachyrhynchus (Pink-footed goose)
Lineage: Eukaryota; Metazoa; Chordata; Aves; Anseriformes; Anatidae
Description: lncRNA (ENSABRG00000002764.1)
Source: RNAcentral